UAGGGAAUCUUCGGCAAUGGACGAAAGUCUGACCGAGCAACGCCGCGUGAGUGAAGAAGGUUUUCGGAUCGUAAAACUCUGUUGUUAGAGAAGAACAAGGACGUUAGUAACUGAACGUCCCCUGACGGUAUCUAACCAGAAAGCCACGGCUAACUACGUGCCAGCAGCCGCGGUAAUACGUAGGUGGCAAGCGUUGUCCGGAUUUAUUGGGCGUAAAGCGAGCGCAGGCGGUUUCUUAAGUCUGAUGUGAAAGCCCCCGGCUCAACCGGGGAGGGUCAUUGGAAACUGGGAGACUUGAGUGCAGAAGAGGAGAGUGGAAUUCCAUGUGUAGCGGUGAAAUGCGUAGAUAUAUGGAGGAACACCAGUGGCGAAGGCGGCUCUCUGGUCUGUAUCUGACGCUGAGGCUCGAAAGCGUGGGGAGCAAA
Molecule: ribosomal RNA, 425 nt
Filed under: Gemmatimonadota bacterium
Lineage: Bacteria; Pseudomonadati; Gemmatimonadota
Description: Gemmatimonadetes bacterium partial 16S ribosomal RNA
Rfam family: Bacterial small subunit ribosomal RNA
Source: RNAcentral